RNAcentral lists this ribosomal RNA (768 nucleotides) under uncultured bacterium. RNAcentral describes it as "bacterial SSU rRNA". It matches the Rfam family "Bacterial small subunit ribosomal RNA", at positions 74 to 835 of the family's 1533-position model. The record is from RNAcentral.
AGCAGCUUGCUGCUUCGCUGACGAGUGGCGGACGGGUGAGUAAUGUCUGGGAAACUGCCUGAUGGAGGGGGAUAACUACUGGAAACGGUGGCUAAUACCGCAUAACGUCGCAAGACCAAAGAGGGGGACCUUCGGGCCUCUUGCCAUCAGAUGUGCCCAGAUGGGAUUAGCUAGUUGGUGAGGUAACGGCUCACCAAGGCGACGAUCCCUAGCUGGUCUGAGAGGAUGACCAGCCACACUGGAACUGAGACACGGUCCAGACUCCUACGGGAGGCAGCAGUGGGGAAUAUUGCACAAUGGGCGCAAGCCUGAUGCAGCCAUGCCGCGUGUAUGAAGAAGGCCUUCGGGUUGUAAAGUACUUUCAGCGGGGAGGAAGGUGUUGUGGUUAAUAACCGCAGCAAUUGACGUUACCCGCAGAAGAAGCACCGGCUAACUCCGUGCCAGCAGCCGCGGUAAUACGGAGGGUGCAAGCGUUAAUCGGAAUUACUGGGCGUAAAGCGCACGCAGGCGGUCUGUCAAGUCGGAUGUGAAAUCCCCGGGCUCAACCUGGGAACUGCAUUCGAAACUGGCAGGCUUGAGUCUUGUAGAGGGGGGUAGAAUUCCAGGUGUAGCGGUGAAAUGCGUAGAGAUCUGGAGGAAUACCGGUGGCGAAGGCGGCCCCCUGGACAAAGACUGACGCUCAGGUGCGAAAGCGUGGGGAGCAAACAGGAUUAGGUACCCUGGUAGUCCACGCCGUANACGAUGUCUACUUGGAGGUUGUGCCCUUGA